Molecule: transfer RNA, 65 nt
Filed under: Phaonia tuguriorum
Lineage: Eukaryota; Metazoa; Arthropoda; Insecta; Diptera; Muscidae
Description: tRNA-Thr
Rfam family: tRNA
About the family: Transfer RNA (tRNA) molecules are approximately 80 nucleotides in length. Their secondary structure includes four short double-helical elements and three loops (D, anti-codon, and T loops).
Source: RNAcentral
GUUUUAAUAGUUUAAUAAAAACAUUGGUCUUGUAAAUCAAAAAUAAGGAUUAACCUUUUAAAACU